RNAcentral lists this transfer-messenger RNA (236 nucleotides) under Clostridiales bacterium. RNAcentral's name for it is "partial transfer-messenger RNA". It matches the Rfam family "transfer-messenger RNA", at positions 123 to 374 of the family's 374-position model. From Rfam's summary of the family: Bacterial tmRNA, also known as 10Sa RNA or SsrA, is named for its dual tRNA and mRNA-like properties. Its role is to liberate the mRNA from a stalled ribosome. Lineage: Bacteria; Bacillati; Bacillota; Clostridia; Eubacteriales. The record is from RNAcentral.
GCUUAAUUAAGCUGCUCGUCUUGUCUGGGAAUCCUGCGACCUAGAUAAAGACGUCAACUUAGCAGGGAACCGAGCUUAGCAAAGCUUUGAGCUAAGAACGGAAUCUAUGAAGCUACUGAAGCCUGAACCUUGUCAGUAGGGGUCAGGUUGAGGGAAUGUCAAAAUACUGACUGCACUCGGAGAAGCUCUUGUGGAAGUGUUUUCGGACGUGGGUUCGAUUCCCACCGCCUCCACCA